UUGAACGCUGGCGGCAUGCCUUACACAUGCAAGUCGAACGGCAGCACGGGGGCAACCCUGGUGGCGAGUGGCGAACGGGUGAGUAAUGCAUUGGAACGUGCCCUGAAGUGGGGGAUAACGUAGCGAAAGUUACGCUAAUACCGCAUAUUCUGUGAGCAGGAAAGCAGGGGAUCGCAAGACCUUGCGCUUUAGGAGCGGCCGAUGUCGGAUUAGCUAGUUGGUGAGGUAAAGGCUCACCAAGGCGACGAUCCGUAGCGGGUCUGAGAGGAUGAUCCGCCACACUGGGACUGAGACACGGCCCAGACUCCUACGGGAGGCAGCAGUGGGGAAUUUUGGACAAUGGGCGCAAGCCUGAUCCAGCCAUGCCGCGUGAGUGAAGAAGGCCUUCGGGUUGUAAAGCUCUUUCAGCGGGAACGAAACGGUCGAUCCUAAUACGAUCGGCUAAUGACGGUACCUGCAGAAGAAGCACCGGCUAACUACGU
Molecule: ribosomal RNA, 482 nt
Filed under: uncultured bacterium
Lineage: Bacteria
Description: bacterial SSU rRNA
Rfam family: Bacterial small subunit ribosomal RNA
Source: RNAcentral